GAGCAGGGCAGAGAACGCUCCUGAGAGUCAAAGUCAAGUUCAGAACCAACAGAGACAAAGCCAUGGGGAAGGGAGCCAGUGAGCCCUCUGGGCAGGCAAGGAACUCUGCUAUGAAGGAGUUCUAACAAGGGAAAAAACAGUUGGCACAGUUAUGGACAAUAAUGGUGUCUAAAUAUGUCUAAUAGCAUAGAAGGAGAAUAUGAACCAGGACACAUGGGCGGCACAUUUGGUUAAGCUGCAGCUGUUGGCUCAAGUCAUGGUCUCAGGGUCCUGGGAUCAAACCCUACAUCAGGCUCCUUACUCAGCGGGGAGUCUG
Mustela erminea (ermine) is the source of this 316-nucleotide long non-coding RNA. RefSeq lists it as uncharacterized. The transcript has 3 exons. Lineage: Eukaryota; Metazoa; Chordata; Mammalia; Carnivora; Mustelidae. The record is from RefSeq and is a predicted model, not a curated record.